RNAcentral lists this long non-coding RNA (2231 nucleotides) under Anas platyrhynchos platyrhynchos (common mallard). RNAcentral describes it as "lncRNA (ENSAPLG00000030340.1)". The record is from RNAcentral. Lineage: Eukaryota; Metazoa; Chordata; Aves; Anseriformes; Anatidae.
GCUAAAGGGAAAUGAUAAAAAGAUGCACAGAAUCUCCUGUUACCUCAAACUACUGUUUAAUAUUUAGAAGGCAAGAAAGUACUGCAAAACUGACAUCUUAAACUUAACAGUUUUGUUGUGUCAUUUUUCUAUCACCCCUAAUUCAUGAAAUAGGUAAGUGCCAACAUCUGUUUCCAUUUUACAGCUCUGAGAAACUACUUUGAUUAUUAACUCUGACAUGGUAGAAUUGCAAUCUUCAGGCAAUUCAGCAUUUAGAAAGAAUAUUUCCUACUGUAUUUUCCUUCUGUAUGUAUUCAGAAAAGUACUGUGCUGUUGGUGAGUUUACAUAUAAGAGAGGCAACCCAUACUCCUUGGGAUGGACUAAUUUCACUAAUUUAGAUUAACAAUUUACCACCAGCAUUUUUGAUGACAAAGCAUGGUCUGCCACCACAUCUACUGAGCUAAUGUUAAGUGUAUUUUAAUUGAAAUAGACUGAUUCACAUCUUACUAUAAGCCUUUUACAUAAUGAAAGGAUGAGUGUAAAGGAAGCAAUGCUGCCAUUUGCAAGAAGUUUGUAGAUCUUUUUUCCUUGCUUAUCAUAUUGUUCCAGGCAUGCAGAAGAUCAUUUACACUGUCCUCAGAAAAAAAAGGUACAAUAAGAAGGACUAAAAUCUCCUUUCUUACUAUUGCUGAAAACACAAAGACCUACAGCUGUUCAUAUUCAGGUACUUAUUACACAUUAAAAGCUCUUAUGUUACACAGAUAUUUGAAUUGACUUUAUGACUUUAAAUGAAAGAAUGUACAAUUUGAAAUAGGUUCUACAGUAAUCCGUACCCAGAUGCUUAUACGGAGUUCAGUUUCAAUGUGAUGCACACAAGGGAAAGUAAUUUCUGUCUUAGAAUCUCUUCGGUCACUCAGGUGCAAGUUUUGAUUGCUUAAACGAAUGUAUUAAAACAAUAAUAUUUUGUGUUCUUUGCCAAAAUUCAUUUCUAUAAUGUGUCAUAAACAUCAUUACAUUUUUGUACAUUUAUACAUAAUGAAGUAGUUAUGCAAGUUUCUGAGCCAGACUGAUAUAUAGAGAGCUAAAUUUCACCCUUGAGUAAGUGAAUCAGAAGGGAGAGAUGAACAUAAGUGAAGUGAAAAAGGAGUAUGAAUAGACUAUUAAGAAAAAACUAGAAAUGGGGUUACUGAAUCUAAUUUUCAUUGAAAAGUUAAGAAGUGAAGUUAGGUAGGCAAAAUUCCAAGCACACUCCAGGAGCAUUGAGCUGAUUUAUUGAGCUGAGAGGUAAAUAUUCGGGAAGCCAAAGCCAAGUGUGGAGGUUAUAACAUGAAGGCACACGUGCAUGCUGAAAUGCUAAUUUCCUGCCAGUUGGUGCAAGAAACAGAAGAGUUUCUUAUGUUCAGGUGCUAGGUGUUCCAGUGGUUGAUUAGAAUAUGCAGGGCCUAUAUUUUUCUGCCCUGACAUAGUCCUUGUUUUGCAUAUGUUCUGUCAUCAGUUGUGACAGUACAGGACAAAAUAGUGGCAACAUCUGUUUUUUCCCUAAUAAUAAUUAUUACUCCCCAUGGGCAAAUUUGCCAGCCCUUGUGAGCUUGAAAUCUUGUGCUUCUUGGAAAACACAGUUUGAUUAGAAGCUACUGAAGAAUGUUCUUUAAAAAAAAAAUGUUUUCAGUGCCUAAGAGCUAUAAUGCGGAAGUGUGACAAUGUCCUUCUAACACUACAGUUGCCUCCCACCAUUUGUUGAAGCAUGACAGGUGAAAUUCUUAGCAAACUGAAGUUAAUAGUAGUUUUGCCAUUAACUUCAAAGUCAGGAUCUCAUUUUUUUUUGUUUCUACCACCAGGUAAAUGUUGCUUGUUGUCUUGCUGCUGAGAUUCCAUUAAAUAUUUUAGGCAGAAGCAAACAACAAGCAUGAAUUCAUUAGUGUUGUUCUUCCAACUCUUCAUUUUAAUCAUCUGUUCCUGCAUGUUUCAUUGAAUGCAAUGAAAUGUCUUUGCUAUUCCUAUGGCAGUAACAACUUUAUGGGACAUUAAUGCUAGAAUAUAAUACAAUUCCUUGUACAGGAAAUGUAUAUGUGAAUGACUUCUGUACUAAAAUGAUUUUGUUGGUAAGGUAAACACAGUACAUUUUAAAUGUACUUAGAGUGACAGUCCCAUAAUAUAUUACUUAGAGUUUUGUAGUGAGUGUGUGAAUGCUCACUGCUGUGCAGAGGUUCAAUCAUACUAUGAAAUAAACCUUGCUUUAAAGGGAGAAACA